Molecule: ribosomal RNA, 256 nt
Filed under: uncultured bacterium
Lineage: Bacteria
Description: partial 16S ribosomal RNA
Rfam family: Bacterial small subunit ribosomal RNA
Source: RNAcentral
UACGAAGGGGGCUAGCGUUGUUCGGAAUUACUGGGCGUAAAGCGCACGUAGGCGGAUAUUUAAGUCAGGGGUGAAAUCCCGGGGCUCAACCCCGGAACUGCCUUUGAUACUGGGUAUCUUGAGUGUGGUAGAGGUGAGUGGAAUUGCGAGUGUAGAGGUGAAAUUCGUAGAUAUUCGCAGGGAACACCAGUGGCGAAGGCGGCUCACUGGACCACAACUGACGCUGAGGUGCGAAAAGCGUGGGGAGCAAACAGGG